AGAGUUUGAUUAUGGCUCAGGAUAAACGCUGGCGGCGUGCUUAACACAUGCAAGUCGAACGAAGUUUUUCUUUCGGGAGGAACUUAGUGGCGGACGGGUGAGUAACGCGUGGGUAACCUGCCCUGUACAGGGGGACAACAGCUGGAAACGGCUGCUAAUACCGCAUAAGCCCUUAGCACUGCAUGGUGCAUAGGGAAAAGGAGCAAUCCGGUACAGGAUGGACCCGCGUCUGAUUAGCCAGUUGGCAGGGUAACGGCCUACCAAAGCGACGAUCAGUAGCCGAUCUGAGAGGAUGUACGGCCACAUUGGGACUGAGACACGGCCCAG
Molecule: ribosomal RNA, 327 nt
Filed under: uncultured bacterium
Lineage: Bacteria
Description: bacterial SSU rRNA
Rfam family: Bacterial small subunit ribosomal RNA
Source: RNAcentral